RNAcentral lists this unclassified non-coding RNA (146 nucleotides) under uncultured Naevala. RNAcentral describes it as "partial internal transcribed spacer 2". Lineage: Eukaryota; Fungi; Ascomycota; Leotiomycetes; Helotiales; Dermateaceae. The record is from RNAcentral.
CAACCCAUCAAGCUUCGGCUUGGUCUUGGGGCCUGCGAUUCCGCAGCCUCUAAACCCAGUGGCGGUGCCCUCGAGCUCUGAGCGUAGUAAUUCUUCUCGCUAUAGGGUCUCGGUGGUGUCUUGCCAGUAACCCCCAAUUUUUACAA